Mercenaria mercenaria is the source of this 6241-nucleotide RNA transcript. RefSeq lists it as uncharacterized. NCBI's taxonomy places the organism in Eukaryota, Metazoa, Mollusca, Bivalvia, Venerida, Veneridae. The transcript has 8 exons. The record is from RefSeq and is a predicted model, not a curated record.
CAACAAAUUUCCGAACGUCUGGUGAUACAGAUUGUGAGAAACUUGUGUUUUUAACAUGAGAAACCUAAACGCAUGUACAGUAGCGUGAUUAUGUCUCUUUGUACUUUGUUGACAUAUUUGUUCUACGACAUGCACUAAUUUAAAAAUAUAUUUACGGGCGAAUAUUGUCAAUAAGGAACUUCGACCCAAGGACACUUCGACCCCAGGACAUUUCGACCCAAAAUAAAGACUUCCUAAUGAUAGAUGUUAUUUUCUACAUUUUUGAAAAUUUAUAUUUGUUCAUGUGGAAUCCUAAACAGGACCCAGAAAAGCCAGAAAUUAGCUAUAUCAUAUCUGGAACAACUGAUACGGGGACUGGAUAGACAAGCUUACUGUCGCUGAGUGGCAGCUUUUUAAUUUCUGACUUUUGCAGCCACCGCUUGACCGUCACAAUAUAAAACAAACUGUAUAAGUCGGAUUAGUUCGACUAGGGGACUGGAAUGCGGCAUUUAUCUUAGUUUAUGAUGUCGUCCAAUUGAAGCCUAUGCCAUCUUCUGUUAUAAUGACAAAGUUGAUAAAGAUCAUUACCAAACAUUCUCCCAGAUUCUUGGCUGUAAACAUAUGCGGUACCAGUGUACCUUUCACAACCAGUGCUACCUCACAGCAGUAUAAUAAAAUGAGAUAUGAUCCUCCCUACUGCAGACAGAAGAGGAAACAAGAGAACUACAGGUGUAAGAGAAUGCUAGAACACCUCGUACCUUCAAAACAAGAGUGGCUAAGAAAACUACAGAUUGAGUAUGAAGUAAUGAAAGCUGAAGGAUGUACAGAGGUGCCAGAUGAAAUGGAUGCAUAUGAGUGGUAUGAUGUUUUACAGGCACAAACUGAAGAGGAAAUCUUUUUUAGAUACAGAUAUAUUAGAUCAGGUCAGAUUGACCUACAAGAUCGGGAAAAUCACGGAUUGCUAGCAGACAUGGAACUUGACAGUUACCUUCAGAAGUUAAAAUAUUCCGGGCAAACAGAAUAUUCUUUCGUGCAUAUUGAUGAGGAUUGCCUUGAAAGUAGACAGUACAUACAAAAUAUGAGUUCUGAUUUGUUUGGAUAUAAACUUUGUCAAGAUAUCAUUAUUGAAUUUCCACAAGUUGAUUGGAUGAAAAAGAGUGGUGGACUAGAUGCCAGAAUGCAAAUACAAAAUCUGAAGAUAAUUUUAGAAAUGAAUCGUAGGCAUAUACAACCUUCUAAAUUUCAUGUCUCAAACUGUGGAGAAAUGUGGAAAUGUCUUCAGUGUCAAGCAGAUUUGAAAAAAUUAAUAAAAGAUUUUCCGUGUGUAACUUUUCACGAUGGAAAUAUUUUCAGUGAAUUUAAAAAUGACAAAUUGGUCUAUAUUAUGCCUAGUACGCCAUGGUCAUCGGACAUUCUAGAGGACAACUCGGAUGCUAUCCCUAUACUGCUACUUUCUAACAGACAAAAUCCGUACAAUUUAAUAAAAAGCUGUGCAGAUUCACAUGGCAUUAGACAUGUCAGUUUUCCACUCCAUAAAUAUGUAAGAUCCAUGUGCUAUAGAAUAGACCAACAACAAGACCAAUGUCGAGAAGAUCGCCCAAGUACAAAUAUAAGGCAGGAUUUUUCCAGGAUUAUGCAGGGAAGAUCAUUUUAUCUGGAUUCCUGUUUCUACAAAGCGGGAAAGUAGACACUGUACCAGGAAUUUUCAAGAAGACCGGGAUCCCGGGUAUACUGCAAAAAAAGCAUCCUGGAGUUUAUAAAAUAGAGCAUAAUUUUCACAAAGACCAGGACCCUGGCUGUAUUGAAACAAGAGGACCAUGAUGGUCCUGAAUUGCUCAUCUGUCCCUACAUGACCCAGUUUUGAACUGAGGAAGAUGUCUUUUGGACAAUACCGAGAAAAGAGUAAACCAAAUUCCUUAUUGCAGACUAUGCACAAAGUCGCCAACCACGAACCCACCUAAAGUUGUUGGGUCAUGCGGAAACGAGUUUUGUUGUAUUGCAUGUGUAGUCAACUAUUUGUCCAGGCAUUUAAAAAAGAAAAUUUGGAGAAUUUAACAACAUGUCAUCUCUUCGGAGAGAAAGAGAAAAAACGAACCCGCAAGGGUAGAUAAAACUUCCCCACUCGGGGAACCGUCUCAAAAACUGAGGAGGGUGUUGUUUCACCCCCCGCCCCCGAGGGUCAAGGAAAGAAAGAAAGAGGGAGAGAAGAGAAUCAGGAUGUCCCCUGGCAUCCAAAGAUUUUACGCUUGGGAAGAUGUUAACUUUGGAGGACUUAAAAAGGAAAAUUUGGAGAAUUUCACAACAUGUCAAUGGAUUUAGACAUUUUUGUGACAUUAUGACAAUGGAUGUAAACAUAUUUCUGACAUUAUGUCAGUGGAUGUAAACAUAUUCAUUACAUUAUGUCAACGGAUGUAAACAUAUUUGUGACAUUAUGUCAAUAGAUAUAAACAUUUUUGUGUGACAUGAUGUCAAUGGAUGUUAACAUAUUAGUUACAUUAUGUGGAUGAAAUGGGUUCUAACCAUUUUCUUUACAGGGAAGAUAUUUAACUUUGUAAGGAAAAUUACAAAGGAAACUUUGGAGAGUUUAACAACAUGUCAGUGACAUGAAACAUUUUGUAAUAUUAUGUCAGUGGACUGAAACAUUUAUAUAACAUUAUGUCAAUGGAUGUAAACAUUUUCGUGACAUUAAGUCAGUGGAUGUAAACAUUUUCGUGACAUUAUGUCAAUUGAUGUAAACAUAUUUGUGACAUUAUGUCAACUGAUGUAAACAUAUUACCAGUAGUUUCAUUAUGCCAAUGGAUGUAAACAUUUUGGUUACAUUAUAUCAAUGGAUGUAAAUAUUUUACUGGUAGUCACAUAAUGUCAAUGGAUGUAAACAUUUUAGUUACAUUAUGUCACUGGAUGUAAACAUAUUACCGAUAGUUACAUUAUGUCACUGGAUGUAAACAUAUUACCGAUAGUUACAUUAUGUCAAUGGAUGCAAACAUUUUAGUUACAUUAUGUCAAUGGAUGUAAACAUAUUACCUACAGUUACAUUUUGUCAAUGGAUGCAAACAUUUAGUUACAUUAUGUCAAUGGAUGUAAACAUUUUUGUGACAUUAUGUCUAUGGAUGUAAACAUAAUAGUUACAUAGACUAAUUAGUGCACGGAUUUUAACAUCUUCGUUGAAAGUUACUACGUAUUUUUUAAAAUCUGAAAACAAGGAGCUGCGUUCAAUAAACGCAUAAUGUCCCCGGUGGCAUCCUUGUCCAUACAAAGCAACCUAAGUCCAAAACGAGGUCAAGGUCAAGGUCAAACUGAGGUCAGGUGAUGUUUGAAGAUGAGGAAUGGUCACAGGUUGCAUCUGUAUUAGUAUCAAUUCAUUCUUGUAAGCGGUAUUGAUGCUAGACGAAACUGUCCCAUUUGGUUAACCAAGUGAUGGCACAUAUAAAGCAACCUAAGUCCAAAAUCAGGUCAAGGUCACACUGAGGUCAGGUGAUGUCUGAAGAUGAGGAAUGGUCACAGGUUACAUCUGUAUUAGUAUCAAUUCAUUCUUUUAAGCGGUAUUGAUGCUAGACGAAACGGUCCCAUUUGGUUAACCAAGAGAUGGCACAUAUAAAGCAACCUAAGUCCAAAAUGAGGUCAAGGUAAAGGUCAAACUGAGGUAAAGUGAUAUCUGAAGAUGAGGAACGUUACAGGUUACAUCUGCAUUAGUAUCAAGUCAUUCUAGUAAGGGGUAUUGAUGCUAGACGGAACGGUCCCAUCUGGUUCACCUCGUACGGACGGACGAAUGGACGAACAGACAGGACAAUCACUACAAAGCAUUUACUCUUCUUGUGACUUUCUUUCAACACAGAGUGGAAAAAAUUACUUCAUCAGAAAGUUUUAAUGGUCAUAAGUAAAAGGUAAAAAGUAUAACGCCCUUAAGUUUUGUACUGAGACUUCCAAGAGACAUGGAAACAAGAGGGCCAUGAAGGCCCUGUAUCGCUCACCUGACCUAUUGACCUAAAGAUCAUCAAUAUUAACAUUCUGACCAAGUUUCAUUAAGAUAUGGUCAUAAAUGUGGCCUAACUAGCUUUUCCUUUGAUCUGACCUGGUGACCUAGUUUCUGACCCCACAUGACCCAGAUUCGAACCUGACCUAAAGAUUAGCAAGGUUAACAUUCUGACCAAGUUUCAUGAAGAUACAGUCAUAAAUAUGGCCUCUAGAGUGUUAACAAGCUUUUCCUUUGAUUUGACCUGGUGACCUAGUUUUUUACCCCACCUGACCCAGAUUUAAACUUGACCUAAAGAUCAUCAAUAUUAACCUUCUGACCAAGUUUCAUUAAGAUAUGGUCAUAAAUGUGGCUUACACAGUGUUAACUAGCUUUUCCUUUGAUUUGACCUGGUGACCUAGUUUUUGACCCCACCUGACCCAGAUUUAAAGUUGGCCUAAAGAUCAUCAAGAUUAACAUUCCGACCAAGUUUCAGUAAGAUAUGGUCAUUAAUGUGGCCUCUAAAGUGCUAACUAACUUUUCCUUUGAUUUGACCCGGUGACCUAGUUUUUGACCCACAUGACCCAGAUUCGACCUUGACCUAAAGAUCAUCAAGAUUAACAUUCUAACUAAAUUUCAUGAAAAUAAAGUCAUAAAUGUGGCCUCUAGAGUGUUAACAAGCUUUUCCUUUGAUUUGACCUGGUGACCUAAUUUUUGACCCCACCUGACCCAGAUAUAAUCUUGACCUAAAGAUUAUCAAGAUUAACAUUCUGACCAAGUUUUAUUAAGAUAUGUCAUAAAUGUGACCUCUAGAGUGUUAACUAGCUUUUCCUUUGAUUUGACCUGGUGACCUAGUUUAUGACCCUAUAUGACCCAGAUUCAAACUGGACCUAAAGAUUAUCAAGAUUAACAUUCUGACCAUGUUUCAUGAAGAUACAGUCAUAAAUGUGGCCUCUACAGUGUUAAAAAACUUUUCCUUUGAUUUCGACCUGGUGACCUAGUUUUUGACCCCAGAUGACCCAAUAUCAAAAUAGUCCAAAAUUUUAUUGAGGGUAACAUUCUGACCAAGUUUCAUUAAGAUUGGGCCAAAAUUGUGACCUCUAGAGUGUUAACAUUCAAAUUGUUGACGACAACGGACGACGGACCCUGGGCGAUCACAAAAGCUCACAUUGAUCAAUUUGUGGUAAGUUAGCAAAUUAUUUCUGUAUAAACUUUUAGAAAUAAUACUAAAUGUACUCUUUCAUUUAAUGAUUUUACAAAACAAUAAGUUAUUUAGAAAAGUAGUUUUCUUUAAAGUCAGUCAGAGCAUUAAAAAGUGAAAUGCGUUACUACAGUUUAGGUUAUCUGUACAUGCAUAUUGAUCAAAGACAGUUUCACUCUAACAGAUCAUAGAAUGAUAAGAGCUUUUUGCUCAGUAUGAAGCUCAUAAUUUGAUGAUUCUAGACUAAAUAGUUGUACUUUCACCUUGUUUUUUUUUGCCACGAGUGCACAUAUUUGAGCUGAUUUAAGAUGUGCCAAGAAAUUAAUAUUUCUGCUAUGACAAGUUGUAUUGUUUCAAUUACAUGAUGUAUGCCUUUUAACUACAAAAUAUUUUUCAAUAUUAGGAAAUGAUAAUCCUUAUAUUCUUACUGUAAAUACUAUUGAACUUUAACAGUCAAUUUGUUAACUGUAUUUCUCGCCAAAAAGAAUUUCAAAUCAUAUUUACAAGGUAUUCAAUUACAUGUUCUGGGGUUUCCUGAAGACCGGACAAUUGUCCUGAGUUUUCCUGUCAUCAGGAAUUCCUGGGAUUUCCUGAAGACAGGACAAUUGUCCUGGGAUAUCCUGACUUCAAGUUCCUGGGAUUUCUUGAGAACAGGACAAUAUUAUUCUUUUAUGUCCGGUCUUCAGGAAAUCUCAGGACAUUCCUUGGAUUUUCAGGAUAGCAGGUUUGGAAUUCUCAGAUGUCCUGUUUUUUUUUCCUAUUCAUAGGAAAAUCCUUGGAUUGUCCCAUUCCCAUUUAACGGCGUGAAAAGUCCCAGGACUAUCCCAGGAAUUCCUGAGAUAUUUUCAGGACAUUAUCCCAGGAUAGUCCUGGGACUUCCUGGGAUAAUCCCAGGAUUUCCUGUUCCAUUUUCGCACAGGUAUCUUGCGUGUAUUUAUAAACUGAUUUGACGAAGUUGCUGUACACUCUAAGGGCAUCGUUGUUUGUUUUUCUGCCACUGCGGCUACAAUUUACAAUUACGGACACUUUACGCCAGAAUUUUUUUAAUUUUCUGGUUCUCGGGAGCGCCAACCUGAUUUUUUCAAUUUAAAAAUAAAAAUUAAAGUGAC